GACGAACGCUGGCGGCGUGCUUAACCCAUGCAAGUCGAACGGAAAGGCCCUGCUUUUGUGGGGUGCUCGAGUGGCGAACGGGUGAGUAACACGUGAGUAACCUGCCCUUGACUUUGGGAUAACUUCAGGAAACUGGGGCUAAUACCGGAUAGGAGCUCCUGCGGCAUGGUGGGGGUUGGAAAGUUUCGGCGGUUGGGGAUGGACUCGCGGCUUAUCAGCUUGUUGGGGGGGUAGUGGCUUACCAAGGCUUUGACGGGUAGCCGGCCUGAGAGGGUGACCGGCCACAUUGGGACUGAGAUACGGCCCAGACUCCUACGGGAGGCAGCAGUGGGGAAUAUUGCACAAUGGGCGGAAGCCUGAUGCAGCAACGCCGCGUGCGGGAUGACGGCCUUCGGGUUGUAAACCGCUUUCGCCUGUGACGAAGCGUGAGUGACGGUAAUGGGUAAAGAAGCACCGGCUAACUACGUG
This 468-nucleotide ribosomal RNA is filed under the name uncultured bacterium. RNAcentral's name for it is "partial 16S ribosomal RNA". It matches the Rfam family "Bacterial small subunit ribosomal RNA", at positions 28 to 507 of the family's 1533-position model. The record is from RNAcentral.